This 253-nucleotide ribosomal RNA is filed under the name uncultured bacterium. Its description in RNAcentral is "partial 16S ribosomal RNA". It matches the Rfam family "Bacterial small subunit ribosomal RNA", at positions 524 to 776 of the family's 1533-position model. The record is from RNAcentral.
UACGGGGGGGGCAAGCGUUGUUCGGAAUUACUGGGCGUAAAGGGCGUGUAGGCGGCCAACUAAGUCCGACGUGAAAUCCCCAGGCUCAACCUGGGAACUGCGUCUGAUACUGGAUGGCUUGAAUUCGGGAGAGGGAUGCAGAAUUCCAGGUGUAGCGGUGAAAUGCGUAGAUAUCUGGAGGAAUACCGGUGGCGAAGGCGCCAUCCUGGACCGACAUUGACGCUGAUGAGCGAAAGCUAGGGGAGCAAACGGG